GACAGAGGCCUCAAGCGUUAGGCGGAAUCACUGGGCUUAAAGCGUGUGUAGGCGGGUCGUUAAGUACCUUGUGAAAUCCCACGGCUCACCCGUGGAACUGCUGGGCAUACUGGGCGUCUUGGGCCAACUAGGGGCAGCCGGAACAAGCGGUGGAGCGGUGAAAUGCGUAGAUAUCGCUUGGAACGCCGAAGGUGAAAACAGGCUGCUGGGGUUGUGCCGACGCUGAGACACGAAAGCCAGGGGAGCAAACGGG
This 253-nucleotide ribosomal RNA is filed under the name uncultured bacterium. RNAcentral describes it as "partial 16S ribosomal RNA". It matches the Rfam family "Bacterial small subunit ribosomal RNA", at positions 524 to 776 of the family's 1533-position model. The record is from RNAcentral.